AUGCACGCUGGCGGCGUGCCUCAUACAUGCAAGUCGAGCGAACAGACGAGGAGCUUGCUCCUCUGACGUUAGCGGCGGACGGGUGAGUAACACGUGGAUAACCUACCUAUAAGACUGGGAUAACUUCGGGAAGCCGGAGCUAAUACCGGAUAAUAUAUUGAACCGCAUGGUUCAAUAGUGAAAGACGGUUUUGCUGUCACUUAUAGAUGGAUCCGCGCCGCAUUAGCUAGUUGGUAAGGUAACGGCUUACCAAGGCAACGAUGCGUAGCCGACCUGAGAGGGUGAUCGGCCACACUGGAACUGAGACACGGUCCAGACUCCUACGGGAGGCAGCAGUAGGGAAUCUUCCGCAAUGGGCGAAAGCCUGACGGAGCAACGCCGCGUGAGUGAUGAAGGUCUUCGGAUCGUAAAACUCUGUUAUUAGGGAAGAACAAAUGUGUAAGUAACUAUGCACGUCUUGACGGUACCUAAUCAGAAAGCCACGGCUAACUACGUG
Molecule: ribosomal RNA, 496 nt
Filed under: uncultured bacterium
Lineage: Bacteria
Description: partial 16S ribosomal RNA
Rfam family: Bacterial small subunit ribosomal RNA
Source: RNAcentral